Molecule: ribosomal RNA, 197 nt
Filed under: uncultured bacterium
Lineage: Bacteria
Description: partial 16S ribosomal RNA
Rfam family: Bacterial small subunit ribosomal RNA
Source: RNAcentral
GCUGCAACUCGCCUACAUGAAGUUGGAAUUGCUAGUAAUCGUGGAUCAGCAUGCCACGGUGAAUACGUUCCCGGGUCUUGUACACACCGCCCGUCACACCAUGGGAGCUGGUAACACCCGAAGUCAGUAGUCUAACCGCAAGGAGGACGCUGCCGAAGGUGGGAUUAGCGACUGGGGUGAAGUCGUAACAAGGUAUC